CCGCCGCCUCCUCGCGUGGCCCUCCGCCGCCGCCUCCCCGGCCGUCAGGAAUCGCGCCCCUCCGCCUCCUCCUCUCGUGGCCUUCAGCCGCCGCCUCCCCAGCCGCCGGGAACCACGCCCCUCUGGUGGUGGCCUCACCGAUUUGGGGUUUGGUGGUGAUUUUGGUGGCGAUUUUGGCAUGAUUUGGUGGUGGAUUUGGGGGAAAUUUGAGGGAAAUGCAGGCUGCGGUAGUGCGGUGGGGAUUGAGGAAAAGGAGGACCCGGAGCCGUGUCGUGGGCCGGCACGAGAAUGGCCAAGCUGCUAUGGCCUGCCGGGCCAGCGGGCCGACACGGCCUGCCUAAGAAGGCAGCAGGUCGGGCCUGGGCCGCUCCUUCAGCAUGUGGGCCGGCCUGGUCUAGCACGGCCGGUCCUAAUCGGGCUCGUGCCAGGCCAGGCUGGGCCGCCCGUUUGGCCAUCUCCCUGAACCCGAAACGGAUUACAGAAAACUCAAAGGGUUUUUUGCAAAAUGUCACGCGCCCGUGGACCCCCGGAAUAAGGGGUCUUCAUUGUUACUGCUCCGCCUCGGCCUAUCCUCCCUACUUCAUUGCUAUUGCUUCCUGCAUUGACUACAACUCAAGCACACUGCCUCUGCCGGAUCUGAAUCUGAUGGAGGCCGUAGAGGACGCGUUUCUGGAGGGCGCGAGCCUCUGGCUGGCGCAAACCAUCCUGCAGAGCCUCUUCACCGGUAAGCUCGAUGAAUGGAUUCGUCAAGUUGGGCUCGCCGACGACGCCGAGAAGCUCAAGUCCGAGGUCGAGCGGGCCGAGGCGGUGGCUGCUGCUGUGAAGGGGAGAACGAUCGGGAACAGGGCGCUGGCCCGAUCGCUCGCUCGUCUCAGGGAGGUGCUCUACGACGCCGACGACGUGGUCGACGAGCUUGACUACUACAGGCUCCAGCACCAGGUCGAAGGAGUUACGCUUCAUAGCGCUAUUGAGCAGGAAGGCAUGGGUGGAGAUGGAGAACAGCAGGUUGAUGCAGCGAGGGACAGCGUUGCUAUGCUGCCAAGUAGCAGCGAUCGGAAGAAACGGUCCAAGGCAUGGGAAGAGUUUCGCGUUAAAGAAUCAGCUGACGGGAAGCCUGUGAAAGCAGAGUGUAUUCACUGUGGCACACUGGUUAGAUGCGAGACUACCAAAGGGACAUCGGUCUUGCACAAUCAUCUCAAGAGUGAGAGUUGCAAGAGAAAACGCGCAGCAAUUGAACAAACGCCAGACCCUCCAAGUGCCGGCGAUGGUGCACAAAACGGUGCCACCGUUUCAACUCAUAAUUCAGAUAUCAGAAAAAGAAUGAGAAUUGUUGAGGUGUCAGCACACAACACGGCAGCUAAGACACACGCCUGGACCAAGGCCGAAUUCUGCAAUAAAAUCCAACAAACGACUUAUCAGUUACGGAAAGCUACCAAUGAGAUUCAGAUGCUAUCUGUAUCGGGCUCUGUUGCAUAUUCGAAUCUCUGUGGGAAUACAACUGCAGAUCCAUGCCGAAGAACGUCAAGUGUUGUUCAGUGCAAAAUGUACGGGAGAGUUGAUGAGAAGAAUUCCAUCAUAAAGUCUAUGACAGAAGUCAAGUUUGACGAUGUAAUUAUUAUUCCAAUUGUAGGCAUGGGCGGAAUUGGGAAGACGGCUCUUUCUCAACUCGUAUACAAUGAUCCAAUUGUGAAAAGCCAAUUUGAUCACAGAAUGUGGAUUUGGGUGUCUAGCAAGUUUGACGAAGUGAGACUUACAAUGGAGAUGUUAGACUUUGUUUCUCAAGAGAAGUGUGUAGGAAUACGGAGCUUGGCUAAACUUCAGGAGAUCUUGGUGACCCAUGUCACAUCAAACAGGACUCUAGUUGUUUUGGAUGAUGUAUGGGAUGACAUCGAUGAUUGCCGAUGGAAUAAACUGUUGGCUCCUUUGAGGUCUGACAAUGCGAAGGGUAAUGUGAUUAUUAUGACAACUAGAAAAUUGUCUAUUGCAAAAAGGAUAUGCACAGUCGAACCGGUCAAGUUAGGUCAUUUGCAAAAUGAUGACUUCUGGUUAUUGUUUAAAACAUGUGCAUUUGGUGAUGAAAAUUACAAAGAGCACCCAAGUCUAACCAUCAUGGGUCAGCAGAUAGCAAAGAAUUUACAUGGUAACCCACAAGCAGCACAAACUGCAGGGAUGCUGUUAAGAGAGCAUCUUACAACUGACCACUGGAGUCACAUUCUAAAGAAUGAAAAAUGGAAAUCCCUGCAACUAAAUGGAGGCAUCAUGCAUGCUUUGAAACUUAGCUAUGAUGAGCUGCCCUUCUAUUUACAACAAUGCUUCUUGUAUUGUUCUAUAUUCCCCAAUGAUCAUCAGUUUAUUAGCAGUGAGCUGAUCUAUAUUUGGAUCGCACAAGGAUUUGUGAAAUGUAGCUGUUCGACUGAGAGAUUGGAGGAGAUGGGACAGAGGUAUCUCACUGAUUUGCUGAACUUUGGAUUUUUUGAGCAAGUUGAAACUAAAGAUCCCACUCUAGGCGAUAAAAUAUUAUAUGUUAUGCCUGCUCUUAUGCAUGACUUUGCAAGGCUGGUUUCAGGAAAUGAAUGUGCAGCUAUAGAUGAUCUGACGUGCAGAGAAAUACUCCCAACUAUACGUCACUUGUCAAUUCUAACUUAUUCUGCGUACCAGGAAGAUAAAUAUGGGGACAUACUUCGUAAUGAGAAGUUUGAAGGAAAAUUGCAAAGAGUAGUUAAUUCAACGAGAAAAUUGAGGACUUUGCUCUUGAUUGGGAAGUAUGACUGCUUCUUCCUCCAAUGUUUACAAGGCCUAUUCCAGAAGGCGCAGAAUUUACGGGCACUGCUAUUUUCUGCAGCAUAUGCUGAUUUUUGUUAUUCAGAAUGCAAUUUGGUAAAUUCUACUCAUGUUCGAUAUCUAAAACUUAGGACCGAAGAGGACAAUGAACCUUUGCCUGAAGCUCUGAGCAAAUUCUACCACCUUCAAGUAUUAGAUAUAGGCUUGGAUAGAUACUCCACUGUACAUAACGGUAUGAAUAAUCUUAUCAGUCUACGGCAUCUUGUUGCAUCGAAGGAAGUGUUCUCUUCAAUUAGUAGAAUUGGCAAAAUGACCUCUCUUCAGGAACUGCAUGACUUUAAAGUUGAUAAUUGCACUAGUUUUGAGAUAGCACAGCUUCAUUCCAUGAGUGAACUCGCUCAGCUUGGUGUUUCCCAACUUGAAAAGGUGGUAACUAGAGAGGAGGCAUAUGGAGCAAACCUGCGAGGAAAAAGUCACUUAGAAAAGUUGCACUUGUCAUGGGAGUAUACAUCACAGCAUGAAUAUGACAUUAACAUUAUCUCAGAGCCUUCUUAUGAGGUAGGAGAGAUAGGGACAAGCAAAGUGGUGCUUGAGGGCCUUGAACCACAUCACAGCCUAAAGCAUCUUCAAAUUUCUGGGUAUCGCAGCGGUACCUCCCCAAAUUGGCUUGUUAGCACUGUCUCGGUUACCUGUUUGCAGACACUUCAUCUAGAGGAUUGUAGGGAAUUGGAAGUGCUUCCCUCAGUAGAAAAGCUUCCACUCCUUACAAAGCUGAAGUUAAGGAAUAUGUGGAAAGUAAGACAGGUAACAGUUCCUUCGUUGGAGGAGCUGGUGCUGAUUAAUAUGCCAAAGUUGGAGUGUUGUUCCUGCAAUUCCGUGAUGGACUUGAACUCCAGUUUAAGGGUCCUCAAGUUUGAGCAAUGUCAUGUUCUGAAGGUCUUUCCCCUCUUUGAGAGCUGGAAGAAAUUAAAAAUUGAGCGCAAGUCAUGGUUGUCCUGUGUUAAGGAACUUACCAUCUGUGAAUGUCCCCAUUUAAUGGUACCGAAUCCUCUACCACCUUCUAGUAAUGUUUGUAAACUACACAUCGCAAGAGUUUCAACACUCCCAACGAUGGAGGGAUCAUCCAGCGAAGAACUGGUAAUCGGAGGACACAAUUUGAGAGAAAACAAUGGGCUGACGGAGCUGGAUGACAGAAUUUUGUCAUUCCAUAAUUUGAGGGCCCUUAGCCGAUUGCGUAUUGCAGGCUGCCAAAAACUAUCUUCUAUUUCACUCGAAGGUUUCAGGCAACUCAUUAGCUUAAAGACUAUGGACAUAAGCUACUGCUUUAACCUUUUCUCUUCAGAUGUCCCACCACCACCAGAGCAUACCCAUGAAGACAUGACCGACAUAAAUUUCAAUGCCCUCCCAUCUCUCAAGCAUCUCAGAAUUGAAUUUUGUGGAAUAACUGGGAUGUGGGUAUCUGUGAUGCUGCGCCAUGCACCAGCCCUAGAGGAAUUGCGCUUGGAUGAUUGCGACCAGAUAUCAGGACUGUUGAUCGAAGUGGGAGAUAGUAGUUCAUCAAAUCACACCUCGGCUCCACGGGCUCCAUCAGCAGGAAACCCAGAUGACGCAUUGACAAGCUCAACUCCAGAUGGACUCCUGCGCAUCCCAUCAAAUUCCGUCUCCUCUCUCAAGAAAAUGUCUAUUCUGUGGUGCGGUGAGCUAACAUUUCAGGGGAACAAGGAUGGCUUCUCUGUAUUCACCUCCCUUGAGGAGCUAACAAUUCGUGGAUGCCCCAAACUGAUCCCGUCUUUGGUGCAGACAUAUGAAAACAACGACCAGCGAAACGGAAGAUGGCUUCUCCCGUAUUCACUUGGCAAACUUGAGAUUGACGGUUCCCCUGAAACGCUGCAGCCCUGCUUCCUAGAAGAUCACAACUGCCUCGAAAAGUUAGAAAUAAAAGAAAGCCCAAGUUUAAAAUUGCUACAGUUGCAUUCCUGCACGGCACUGGAAGAGUUGGCGGUUCAUGAUUGUGAAUCGCUCCCCGCACUAGAGGGGAAUUUCACCUGCCUCAAGAGAUUAGAGCUGUCGUACAACUCAGGGUUGGAAUCGCUACAGCUGCGUUCCUGCACAACGCUGGAAGAGUUGACGGUUGAGUCUUGUGAAUCGCUCGCCACAUUAGAGGGGAAUUUCACCUGCCUCCAAAAAUUAGAUCUGUUUGACAACCCAAGGCUAAAAUCACUACAGCUGCGUUCCUGCACAGCGCUGGAAGAGUUGACGGUUCGGUCUUGUGAAUCGCUCGCUGCACUAGAGGACUUUUGGUCCCUCAGAUGUCUCAGGUAUUUGGUAAUAUCCAAAUGCCCUGGCUUACUUCCUUAUCUGGAACAUCUGUCAAGUGAGGGCUAUGAGCUGUGCGCUGGACUGGAAAGGCUCGACACUGAUUAUUACUCUUUCCUCACCACGUCAUUCUGCAAGUGCCUCACCUCCCUCCGACGCCUAGAGUUACACGAUCCUACGGGGGAAGUGACGGGACUAACGGAGGAGCAAGAGAGAGCGCUUCCGCACCUCACGUCCCUGCAGGAGCUACGAUUUGAGGAUUGCUCCAACCUCGCAGGUCUUCCUGUGGGUCUGCACAGCCUUUCCUCCCUCAAGAGGUUGGAGAUCAAUUAUUGCCCGUUUCUCUCAAGGCUGCCAGAAAAGGGGCUCCCACCUUCGCUUGAAGAACUUAAGAUCUUGGGUUGCAGCGAGGAGCUAGCUGAUGAAUGCAGAAUGCUAGCAACAAAAACAAGGAAGCCAAAAGUCAAAAUUGGUGGGAAAUAUGUGAGCUGAUUACUGGGUGGUUGUUAAGCAGACUUGUCUACCAGCAAAGCGGGUUUCACUCUGUUGCCUUCUGAGGCAUUCAAGCUGCUGUACGUUCCAGUGUUCCACUACUAAAUCUCAUACAACUACGUGCUGUUCAACAAAGCAUCCACACAUCCCUGUUUCUUGCAGAUCACCCAUUGCAGGGCUCAUGUUUGCCAGACGGGAGGCCCAACGCCCAAGGUGUGCUUCUUUUUACUCAUAACCAUCAAAAAUAGAAUUGUUUCGCUUCUCGAACCUCGUCGUCACUGGCCAUAAGCUGCCGAAUGUUAAUAGUUUUGCUGUCAUGUGAACUGAAAACAGUCUGUUUUGUACUUCUAUUCUAUGCUAUUCAUCUCAUCUUGCAAUCUGAACGCUCAAA
Setaria italica (foxtail millet) is the source of this 5980-nucleotide RNA transcript. RefSeq lists it as uncharacterized. NCBI's taxonomy places the organism in Eukaryota, Viridiplantae, Streptophyta, Magnoliopsida, Poales, Poaceae. The transcript is spliced from 4 exons. The record is from RefSeq and is a predicted model, not a curated record.